AAAGGGCGUGUAGGCGGUCUUUCAAGUCCGAUGCUAAAGACUGGGGCUCAACCCCAGGGGUGCGUUGGAUACUGUGAGGCUAGACGGUCGGAGGGGGUAGCGGAAUUUCCGGAGUAGCGGUGAAAUGCGCAGAUACCGGAAGGAACGCCAAUAGCGAAGGCAGCUACCUGGACGACUUGUGACGCUGAGGCGCGAAAGCGUGGGGAGCAAACCGGAUUAGAUACCCGGGUAGUCCACGCCCUAAACCAUGAGUGCUGGGUGUCCGGCUUCUGCUGGGUGCCGUAGCUAACGCGCUAAGCACUCCGCCUGGGAAGUACGCACGCAAGUGUGAAACUCAAAGGAAUUGACGGGGGCCCGCACAAGCGGUGGAGCAUGUGGUUUAAUUCGAAGCGACGCGAAGAACCUUACCAGGCCUUGAUAUGCCCGGAACCCCUCUGAAAGGAGGGGGUGCCCGCAAGGGAGCCGGGACACAGGUGCUGCAUGGCCGUCGUCAGCUCGUGUCGUGAGAUGUUGGGUUAAGUCCCGCAACGAGCGCAACCCCUAUCCCUAGUUGCCAGCAGUUCGGCUGGGCACUCUAUGGAGACUGCCUGCGAAAGCAGGAGGAAGGCGGGGAUGACGUCUGGUCCGCAUGGCCCUUACGGCCUGGGCGACACACGUGCUACAAUGCCAAGGACAGAGCGCUGCUACCUCGCGAGAGGACGCCAAUCGCAAAAACCUUGGCUCAGUUCGGAUUGGAGUCUGCAACUCGACUCC
This 753-nucleotide ribosomal RNA is filed under the name uncultured Thermaceae bacterium. Its description in RNAcentral is "bacterial SSU rRNA". It matches the Rfam family "Bacterial small subunit ribosomal RNA", at positions 562 to 1319 of the family's 1533-position model. Lineage: Bacteria; Thermotogati; Deinococcota; Deinococci; Thermales; Thermaceae. The record is from RNAcentral.